CGUAGGAGGCAAGCGUUAUCCGGAUUCACUGGGCGUAAAGCGCGUGCAGGCGGUGCGGUAAGUUAGGCGUGAAAUCUCCCGGCUCAACUGGGAGAGGUCGUCUAAUACUACCGUACUUGAGAGCAGAAGAGGAAGAUGGAAUUCCCGGUGUAGUGGUGAAAUGCGUAGAUAUCGGGAGGAGCACCAGUGGCGAAGGCGAUCUUCUGGUCUGUUUCUGACGCUCAGACGCGACAGCUAGGGUAGUAAACGGGAUUAGAGACCCCGGUAAUCCUAGCCGUAAACGAUGUGAACUUGGCGUUGGUGGGUUAAACUCCAUCAGUGCCGCAGCAAACGCGAUAAGUUCACCGCCUGGGGACUACGGCCGCAAGGUUA
RNAcentral lists this ribosomal RNA (372 nucleotides) under uncultured organism. RNAcentral's name for it is "bacterial SSU rRNA". It matches the Rfam family "Bacterial small subunit ribosomal RNA", at positions 526 to 896 of the family's 1533-position model. The record is from RNAcentral.